Molecule: non-coding RNA, 29 nt
Filed under: Mus musculus (house mouse)
Lineage: Eukaryota; Metazoa; Chordata; Mammalia; Rodentia; Muridae
Source: RNAcentral
UGGGAAAUUNUAAGUGCUGACUCCUCUGG